GCCGGCGUAGCUCAGCAGGUAGAGCAUCUGAUUUGUAAUCAGAGGGUCGCAGGUUCGAUUCCUGUCGCCGGCUCCA
This 76-nucleotide transfer RNA is filed under the name Bryobacterales bacterium. RNAcentral's name for it is "tRNA-Thr". It matches the Rfam family "tRNA". Rfam says of the family: Transfer RNA (tRNA) molecules are approximately 80 nucleotides in length. Their secondary structure includes four short double-helical elements and three loops (D, anti-codon, and T loops). The record is from RNAcentral. Lineage: Bacteria; Pseudomonadati; Acidobacteriota; Terriglobia; Bryobacterales. RNAcentral also lists the same sequence under 2 other names.